CGGGCUGUAGCGCAGCCUGGUAGCGCACCUGCUUCGGGAGCAGGGGGUCGGAGGUUCGAAUCCUCUCAGCCCGACCA
This 77-nucleotide transfer RNA is filed under the name Aliiroseovarius crassostreae. RNAcentral describes it as "tRNA_Pro_CGG". It matches the Rfam family "tRNA". From Rfam's summary of the family: Transfer RNA (tRNA) molecules are approximately 80 nucleotides in length. Their secondary structure includes four short double-helical elements and three loops (D, anti-codon, and T loops). Lineage: Bacteria; Pseudomonadati; Pseudomonadota; Alphaproteobacteria; Rhodobacterales; Paracoccaceae. RNAcentral also lists the same sequence under 260 other names. The record is from RNAcentral.